UGCCGGGUCGUCUAAUGGUAGGACUAUGGCCUCUGAAGCCAUGUAUGAACGUUCGAAUCGUUCCCCGGCAG
Molecule: transfer RNA, 71 nt
Filed under: bacterium
Lineage: Bacteria
Description: tRNA-Gln
Rfam family: tRNA
About the family: Transfer RNA (tRNA) molecules are approximately 80 nucleotides in length.
Source: RNAcentral